GGCGAUGUUUCAUUCAAAUUUCUGCCCUAUCAACUUUCGACGGUAGGGUAGUGGCCUACCGUGGUGGUAACGGGUAACGGAGGAUUAGGGUUCGAUUCCGGAGAGGGAGCCUGAGAAACGGCUACCACAUCCAAGGAAGGCAGCAGGCGCGCAAAUUACCCAAAUCCCAACUCGGGGAGGUAGUGACAAGAAAUAACGAUGCUCCGGCCAUCGGUCGGGUAAUCGGAAUGAGGACAAUUUAAAUCCCUUAUCGAGGAUCAAUUGGAGGGCAAGUCUGGUGCCAGCAGCCGCGGUAAUUCCAGCUCCAAUAGCGUAUAUUUAAGUUGCUGCGGUUAAAAAGCUCGUAGUCGGAUUUCGGGUGGUGCCUACCGGUCCGCCUUUGGUGUGUACUGGUAGGCGCCACCUUUCUGCCGAGGACGGGUUCCUGGGCUUAACUGUCUGGGGCCCGGAGUCGGCGACGUCACUUUGAGUAAAUUAGGGUGUUUAAAGCAGGCUUAUGCUCUGUAUACACUAGCAUGGGAUGACACGAUAGGACUUCGGUCUAUCUUGUCGGUCUGUAGAUCGGAGUAAUGAUUAAGAGGGACAGUCGGGGGCAUUCGUAUUUCGUAGUCAGAGGUGAAAUUCUUGGAUUUACGGAAGACGAACUUCUGCGAAAGCAUUUGCCAAGGAUGUUUUCAUUGAUCAAGAACGAAAGUCGGGGGCUCGAAGACGAUUAGAUACCGUCGUAGUCUCGACCAUAAACGAUGCC
Molecule: ribosomal RNA, 748 nt
Filed under: Trentepohliaceae sp. Kukwa 19678
Lineage: Eukaryota; Viridiplantae; Chlorophyta; Ulvophyceae; Trentepohliales; Trentepohliaceae
Description: SSU rRNA
Rfam family: Eukaryotic small subunit ribosomal RNA
Source: RNAcentral